Molecule: non-coding RNA, 73 nt
Organism: Bubalus bubalis (water buffalo)
Lineage: Eukaryota; Metazoa; Chordata; Mammalia; Artiodactyla; Bovidae
Source: the annotation of a RefSeq genome assembly
UCCCUGGUGGUCCAGUGGUUAAGACUUUACAUUUCUAAUGUAGGGGGCACGGGUUCGAUUCCUGGUCAGGGAA